GUACGGCCACUCUACAAUGGAAGUUCAGGUGGUGUGGAUUUGCCUUUACAUUUUAUCUCAACCUCCUUUACCUGCAUUUACAGUCCUACUCUUACAUCUGCCUCUUGGCAGGUAGGGGAGAGAGUGGAUUAUUACUUUGGGUUUAGGGGUGACAUAUGACAAUUUUUUGAAUUAUUGCUUUUGCAGGAAGCUUUUGUUAAAAUAAGAGAACAAGCGAAGGCGUACUUGGAAAUGAAAGGAGAGCUAAUCAGUGGUCUUAAUUUGAUUAAUAGUACUAACCUGGAACAUUUUCCUGUUAAAAACAAGGCUGAAAUUUUUCGCCUGAAGGGUGAUUUUCUGUUGAAGCUUAGUGACGGUGAAGGUGCAAAUCUUGCUUAUUCAAAUGCCAUCAGUCUCUUCAAGAACUUGCCUAAAGGAUGGAUCAGUUGGGGCAAUUAUUGUGACAUGGUAUGCAUUAUUCGUUUUUGGUAAUAAAAAUUUCUAUACACUAAUAGUGUUAAUGCUUAUUAUGUCUGUUUUCUCAGGCUUACAGAGAAACCCAUGAGGAAAUUUGGUUAGAAUUUUAUAAUAAAUAAGGGGAAUACUUAUGAUAUGAAGAGCAUGUGGCAUAGCCAUGAUGACAUAUGCUGCCAUUAUGCCACCAGGUUCUUCCUUUUCUUGGCUUAUGAUAUUUCUGGGGCAAAUAUCCCCAUUGGAUGGAUUUAUGCUUUAGAAUUUGGUUUGGCGUGGGGGUGUCUAUUGAUAGGAGCAGACCAUCUUGAAAUUGCUUUAAAUUUAUUGAAAACUCAAAUACUGGUUGUCCUUCUUGCUCUUUGUAUAAAAGGUAAUUGUAAUUGCUUUUAAAUCUGGCCUCACUGUAGGUAUUGGACCUUAUCAUCCCACUUAGAGAGCUGGCACAUGCAGAUGCAAAUGUUGCGUAUCAUUUGUGGGUCUUGGUGUUUCCUAUUGUUUGGGUGACCUUGCACAAGGAUGAACAGGUAACACUAGCUAAGCCCAUGAUAGCCCUCUUGUCAAAGGACUAUCAUAAGAAGCAGCAAGCACAUAGGCCAAAUGUUGUGCAAGCUCUUUCGGAAGGACUUCAAUUAUGUCAUCCUCAGCCACGGAUGCCUAGUGAACUAAUCAAAUACAUUGGAAAGACUUAUAAUGCAUGGCACAUUGCACUGACACUACUGGAAAGUCGUGUAAUGUUGUCCUGGAAUGACAUGAAGUGCUCUGAGUCUCUGGCAGAGCUUUAUCGAUUGCUUAACGAAGAAGAUAUGAGGUGUGGUUUAUGGAAGAAGAGAACAAUUACGGCAGAAACUAGGUCUGGACUGUCUCUAGUUCAGCAUGGUUAUUGGCAACAGGCACAAAGCCUUUUCUACCAUGGCAUGGUGAAAGCAACUCAAGGUACUUACAACAAUACUGUACCAAAAGCUGAGAUGUGUCUUUGGGAAGAACAGUGGCUCCAUUGUGCUACUCAACUGAGUCAGUGGGAAGCUUUGGUGGAGUUUGGCAAACAGAUUGAAAAUUAUGAGAUACUACUAGAUAGUCUGUGGAAACAGCCUGAUUGGGCAUAUCUGAAAGAUCAUGUUGUUUCAAAGGCUCAAGUAGAAGAAACUGCAAAGCUCUGUAUAAUCCAAGCAUAUUUUUAUCUUCAUGAGAAAAAUACAAAUGGAGUAGCAGAGGCUGAAAGCAUAGUGGGAAAAGGCGUUGAUCUAGCUUUGGAACACUGGUGGCAAUUGCCCGAAAUGUCCAUUAAUGCUAGAAUUCCCCUACUGCAGCAGUUUCAGCAACUAGUUGAAGUUCAAGAGUCAGCACGGAUUAUUGUGGAUAUUGCAAAUGGGAACAAACUUCCUGCUAAUUCUGUUGUUGGUGUUCAUGGGGGCUUGUAUGCAGAUCUCAAGGAUAUCCUCGAGACAUGGAGAUUGAGGACACCGAAUGAAUGGGACAAUACAUCUGUUUGGUAUGAUUUGCUUCAGUGGAGGAAUGAGAUGUAUAAUGUAGUUAUAGAUGCAUUUAAGGAUUUUGGUAAUACAAAUUCACAGUUGCAUCAUCUUGGAUUCCGUGACAAGGCAUGGAAUGUCAAUAAACUUGCUCACAUUGCCCGAAAGCAUGGCUUGGAUGAUGUUUGUGUGUCUAUACUGGAGAAAAUGUACGGCCACUCUACAAUGGAAGUUCAGGUGGUGUGGAUUUGCCUUUACAUUUUAUCUCAACCUCCUUUACCUGCAUUUACAGUCCUACUCUUACAUCUGCCUCUUGGCAGGUAGGGGAGAGAGUGGAUUAUUACUUUGGGUUUAGGGGUGACAUAUGACAAUUUUUUGAAUUAUUGCUUUUGCAGGAAGCUUUUGUUAAAAUAAGAGAACAAGCGAAGGCGUACUUGGAAAUGAAAGGAGAGCUAAUCAGUGGUCUUAAUUUGAUUAAUAGUACUAACCUGGAACAUUUUCCUGUUAAAAACAAGGCUGAAAUUUUUCGCCUGAAGGGUGAUUUUCUGUUGAAGCUUAGUGACGGUGAAGGUGCAAAUCUUGCUUAUUCAAAUGCCAUCAGUCUCUUCAAGAACUUGCCUAAAGGAUGGAUCAGUUGGGGCAAUUAUUGUGACAUGGUAUGCAUUAUUCGUUUUUGGUAAUAAAAAUUUCUAUACACUAAUAGUGUUAAUGCUUAUUAUGUCUGUUUUCU
This 2652-nucleotide long non-coding RNA is filed under the name Olea europaea (common olive). RNAcentral describes it as "long non-coding RNA (OEUR_LNC008987)". The record is from RNAcentral. Lineage: Eukaryota; Viridiplantae; Streptophyta; Magnoliopsida; Lamiales; Oleaceae.